AUGAACGCUGGCGGCGUGCCUAAUACAUGCACGUCGAGCGAACAGAUGAGGAGCUUGCUCCUCUGACGUUAGCGGCGGACGGGUGAGUAACACGUGGAUAACCUACCUAUAAGACUGGGAUAACUUCGGGAAACCGGAGCUAAUACCGGAUAAUAUAUUGAACCGCAUGGUUCAAUAGUGAAAGACGGUUUUGCUGUCACUUAUAGAUGGAUCCGCGCCGCAUUAGCUAGUUGGUAAGGUAACGGCUUACCAAGGCAACGAUGCGUAGCCGACCUGAGAGGGUGAUCGGCCACACUGGAACUGAGACACGGUCCAGACUCCUACGGGAGGCAGCAGUAGGGAAUCUUCCGCAAUGGGCGAAAGCUUGACGGAGCAACGCCGCGUGAGUGAUGAAGGUCUUCGGAUCGUAAAACUCUGUUAUUAGGGAAGAACAAAUGUGUAAGUAACUAUGCACGUCUUGACGGUACCUAAUCAGAAAGCCACGGCUAACUACGU
This 495-nucleotide ribosomal RNA is filed under the name uncultured bacterium. Its description in RNAcentral is "partial 16S ribosomal RNA". It matches the Rfam family "Bacterial small subunit ribosomal RNA", at positions 29 to 506 of the family's 1533-position model. The record is from RNAcentral.